RNAcentral lists this unclassified non-coding RNA (4550 nucleotides) under Leishmania donovani. RNAcentral's name for it is "gene:LdHU3.15.1470(CDS-product:Cyclic_nucleotide-binding_domain_containing_protein_putative)". Lineage: Eukaryota; Euglenozoa; Kinetoplastea; Trypanosomatida; Trypanosomatidae. The record is from RNAcentral.
UUGAUUCCUGCUCUCCGUUAAGAGAUCAUUAUCGUUCGGCAUCGCAUUUUUUUUCUUUGUGUCUGCCGCUCUGUGUCCGUGUGUGUGCGUGUCUGUGUGUGCGUCUGUGCAGAGGUCACGCCCUGCCCCGCCGACUCUCUCUCUCUUUCCAGCGAUCAAGCAUACGAGCACGAAUACCGUUCGUGUCGCACGGCGGCCGCAGCAAUGUCCGCCCACGACAACGGAAGCAACGACAGCAACAUCCGCACUUGCAUCUCUUCCGUCUCCAGUAGCGGCUCCAUGCACCACACCGCAGGCGAUGCAGCCGUCACCGGCGUGGCCCCUGGCUGCGAGUCAAUGAAGCACCUCGAUGCAUCCGCGGCUACGAGGACGGCGGUCCCCUUUCCGGACACAUCCGCAGCCCUAACACCGGAUGGCAGCAGCUCCUUGGCGCGCGCAGUGGGGUCGAGCACGAACCAAGACAUGCCCAGCACCACCAGCGCCGUGCCGCCGCAGCCCUCCUCGCGCUCGCAAAACAGCCUGCUUUCAUCGUUCCGCACCUCAGCGCCGCUGGCGGCGACACCCCUUCCCACCUCCUUCGCCGGCGGCAGCGUCGCAUACCAGCAUCAGUCCAUCGCUGUAGCGGACAGUAUCGUGCGCAGCAGCUCCGCCCUCUUUUCGCACGAGCAGGCGGUAGCGUUGCGCAGCGCCAAGCGAGACGUGAGCACGUCGCCCCCUUCGAGACACAUCGGCGGCGACAGUAGUCGCUCUGCCACUCCGCUGACAGUGUCCACGACCGCCUCGCUGGACCCGCGUGGCGAGAACACUCCCAUCCAGCAGAACGCACUGGAGGUGCUGCAGCGGGCUGUAAACCACGUGCGCUCCAACUUGCAGCAGAGCAACGUCGUCAAACCGUCCGUGGCUUCCGGCACUGAGGAUGAGCGCACGGGGCACAGCAUUGCGCAGGCCGUGAGGGCCGCCGUUCGGGCGGCAGAGAUGAUUGAUCAGGAGAACGUGAACAACAGCUUAAACGACAGCGACGUCGACGACGCGCCGAGCGAGGCGACAACAGGGACACGGCGCAGUCACAGGGCGAUGGACUGGCGCGACGACGACGACUCCAUCGUCUCCCCUAGCACCUUCUUCCACUCGGAUGCGUCGCUGCAGGUGCGCAGCAACCGCGUCAUGGAGUGCAUCGUGGCGAAGGGGCACGCAGCGCAGACCGAGGAGGAGCUCACCUGGCUCUACCGCCACGCCCUACUCACGUCCCUGCUGGAUACCGAGGACCUGCAGCGCAUUGUUCCGCUCUCCCUCCACCGCGAGUACACCCAUGGCGAGCUCAUUCUCGACUUCGGCGCACCGGUUCAGCACCUGUACGUGGUGGUGUGGGGCAGCGUGGACGUCUUCCGGAUCGACUCCGUUAACAAUGAGCAGAAGGCAAUGGAGGGGGCGUUUCGCGUGGCGUCUCACCAAAGCGUGUCGAUGAAGCUGCGCUCGAUGAGCGGCUCCCGUGACCGUCACGGCAGCCUCUCCUCGUACGGCCUCCGACUCUCCGACGGGCAGGACGCCUCCACGAACAGCGACAUUCCAUCGGACGCGGUCUACACCCACGUCGCGAGCUUGUGCCCAGGGCAAGUGUUUGGCAUCGAGAACUGCGUCUUCAACACCACCUCGCAGUACGUCUUCCGCGCCGGCAGUGCGAUGUCCAAGACGGUCGUCUCGCUACUACCGUACGAGGAGCUGCAGCCGGUGCUCUCCGGCAAUCCCCGCUUCGCCCAGGGCGUCGGCGUCUGCAUCACCGACUCCAUGGACGUCUUUGGCCCCAUCCGUGAGUUCUGCCGCUACGUCUUCUCGCCCACCAGCGCGCAAAACGAGUACCUGCCGCUGUGGUCGAUCCUGGAGAGCUACACCCGCAUCCACAACGUCAUCCACACGAAGCUGUUCAGUCACGAGGUCGACACCGGCGCGUGGGGCUACGCGCUGAACCGCCUGCCGGACAACCUGACCUCAACUUUUUGCUUCGACCUCGUGCACGCCCUCCCGCCCUUCAUUGCAAGCCGCAUGAAAGUCGAGGCGCGAGCGGCCGACACGCGCAAGACGGCAGACGGCUUGGCGCGCACGCGCAGUAUGCGGACGGCCAUCACGUACAUUCGUACAAGGGAACGCCGUCGCUGCACGUGGCAUCUCGGGAUGGAGGGAAAGACACUCGUGCUGCUGCGCGACGGCUUCACGGAUCUGCUCGACUUCUUGACAAUGCUGUGCGUGCACAUCAUCGAGAGCAACAAGCUUCGUGGCCGCAUGCAGGGCAUGGUGCACCCUCCGGCGAUCGACGUGCUUGACGAGUACCUGCGGCAGCGCGAGCAGGAGGAGCUGGAGGGCAAGUACCUGGCAGCCGACGGUGUCACGCGCGACACCGAGAUGCAGCGCGUGCAGACGAUCCUGAAGCGCAUGCCGCUUACGGAGGGGGAGCAGGCUGGCCUGCUGCGCAACUGGGGGCAUAACACGCUCCUGCGCCUUUACGAGAUCAUGAUGCACCGCGAAGAGUACAACGUGCGCGUCGAUCCGAGCCUGUCCCUUAAGUUCCAGACAAACCCCUUCCACGAAUGGGCCCUGAACCUGCGCAGUUGCGUGCUCGAGAAGCUCGGGCUUGACCGCUUCUCCGCGCUGCCAGACGACCUUUGCAUCGACGUCAUCAGCAGCAACACCCACUGCAUCAAGAAUCUGCUCUGCAGCUUCAACCGCAAGUAUCGCAAUGAAAUCCUGGAUUAUGUGCGCCUCUCCGAGAGCAAGCGACUCGGGCGGCCGGAGGAGUGGCACAACAUGGAUGACAUGCUCUACGCCGCCCUCACAGGUUUCUUGCAGAACGAGCGGCCGGACUUGAAGGAGGAGUACAACCGCAGCCUCGAGCAGAGCGGUAUCACGGUGCUGCAGGACACGGCCAUGACGGGGCUGCAGGUGGACGUCAUCCCGGUGCACCUGCUCAACUUCAACACGAUUGAUGAAGCGAUACGCGAUGCGAUGCACGCGCACUACGUGGAGGCGACCAAGAGCUACAACGGCGAAGGCGAAAGCGAGGCAAGCUCCUCGCAAGUGCCUACGUGGUCGCAGGUAUGCAAGCCGAUCUGGCGGCGCUCCUCGGAGGGCUCGCCGAUUCGCGUGCCGGGGUGCAUGACGACGAGCGGCAGAAAGAACAUCUCAGCCAACGCCGCGGCUGGCGCGGCGCCGCUAGACGGCGAUGGCGACGCGGGUGGCGAGCUCAGCCCCACCGGUUACGAUGGGUCGGCGAGUGCGAAUGAGAGCCUCAGCACGCCCCGCGGGGCCCCGAUGAGUCACCUCGGCAGGAAUGGCCGGCGGCAGCAGCACUUCCUCAUCAACAUGGACUUUGCGUUUGGCGCGCAGGCCGAGGGUAUCUGCCGCGUGAUAUUCAGCGCUUUUGGCAAGCGCAUCCGCAGCGUCAGCGUCAUGGGCAAGGCCGGUGGCCUCACCGGCAAGCGCGGCGACAUCCAGCUUGCUAGCCACGUCCUCCUCUCCAAGUCCUCGCUCAUCCUCGAGGACAACCAGGACGAGCUGCGCAACUGCCGCAACCAAGACCUCACGGCGCAGCGGCUGCAGGAGCUGGCCGGCCCGCGUGUCAAGGUGCACCACGGCAAGGUGCUGACCGUGACGGGAACGAUGCUGCAGAACGUGUCCCUCUUGCGAUACUACCAGCAAGUGUGGCGCUGCAUCGGGACGGAGAUGGAGGGGUCGUACUUUGCGCGUGUCAUCGAAGACUUCUACCGACAAGGCAUCGCCCACCCCGGGCUGACGACGCGCUUCGCCUACUACACGAGUGAUCUCCCCCUCGCGCAGAACGAUGCUGAGAUGGAGGCGCGGCGGACGCACCGGCUGCCGGCUGGCGGUGCGACGCUGUCGGCGCCCAUGAGCCCGCAGGAGGGUGUGCCGCCGCUCUACGCGAUUGCGCGUGGCAUCUUGGAGAAUGUGCUGCUGUAAAGGACCGAGCAGAAGGCCGCAAGCACACACGCGGCGCAUCCUGCCCUGUUCGGCGUGUUCCUCCCACACUUCUCGCCCUCAUCACUUCUCUUUUUUUUUUCGGACGCCUUUUCGUUGUUGUUCUCGGGUAGUGCGCAGUGCCGGGAGUGCUCGGCGCCUCGCCUAUACUACCUCUUGCGCCCACGCAGAUGCACAUGUGCAUUGGCGGCUUUGUUUUUCUCGUGUGCGUGUGUGUGUGUGUGUGUGUGUAUUGCCUUCUCGUUGAUUCUCAUGCAGUGGGCCCGGCAUAGGCGUCCGCAAUGGACGUGCGUGUGUGGGUUGGGUGGCGUGUGGAGCUGGAGAGAUGCUGAUCGCAGUUCACAUCAUCGUUUAAUCGUUGAGCAACGGUGUUGUGCUCUCUGUCUGCCCGCCCGUGUGGGUGUGUGGGUGUGGGUGUACGUUGGUAUAGCAUCUGCGCAGUAAGCGCACGGCGUAUGCCCCAUUCUGCCACCCCCCCCCAACCCCACCCCCUUCCUGUUCUUUGGUGGUGACGAUAAGCGGGACUGUUCGUUGCUUUCUCGGCUCGUAUUUCUUUUCUCCCC